This 248-nucleotide ribosomal RNA is filed under the name uncultured bacterium. Its description in RNAcentral is "partial 16S ribosomal RNA". It matches the Rfam family "Bacterial small subunit ribosomal RNA", at positions 355 to 594 of the family's 1533-position model. The record is from RNAcentral.
UCGAGGAUCUUUCACAAUGCGCGAAAGCGUGAUGGAGCGACGCCGCGUGCAGGAUGAAGGCCUUCGGGUCGUAAACUGCUGUCAGGAGGGAGCAACGAGCGGGAUACUAAUACUAUCUCGCAGUGAUAGUACCUCCAGAGGAAGCCACGGCUAACUCUGUGCCAGCAGCCGCGGUAAUACAGAGGCGGCAAGCGUUGUUCGGAUUUACUGGGCGUAAAGGGUGCGUAGGCGGUUCCGCAUGUCGGAUG